CAGUAGCCCGGUAAAACGUAGGUGGCAAGCGUUGUCCGGAAUUAUUGGGCGUAAAGCGUCUGUAGGUGGCUCUGUAAGUUAGAGGUGAAAGCCCGGAGCUCAACUCCGGAAUUGCCUUUAAGACUGCAGAGCUAGCAGGAGAGAGAGGUGAGUGGAAUUCCGAGUGUAGAGGUGAAAUUCGUAGAUAUUCGGAAGAACACCAGUGGCGAAGGCGGCUCACUGGCUCAUACUGGACGCUGAGGUGCGAAAGCGUGGGGAGCAAACAGGAUUAGAUACCCGAGUAGUCCCUGUCUCUUAUACA
This 301-nucleotide ribosomal RNA is filed under the name uncultured bacterium. RNAcentral describes it as "partial 16S ribosomal RNA". It matches the Rfam family "Bacterial small subunit ribosomal RNA", at positions 509 to 808 of the family's 1533-position model. The record is from RNAcentral.